CAGAGGUCCCGAGCGUUGUUCGGAUUCACUGGGCGUAAAGGGUGCGUAGGUGGCUGGGAAAGUUUGAUGUGAAAGCUCAGGGCUUAACCCUGAAAUGGCAUUGAAUACUACUUAGCUGGAGGUUUGGAGGGGGGACUGGAAUUCUUGGUGUAGCAGUGAAAUGCGUAGAUAUCAAGAGGAACACCAGUGGCGAAGGCGAGUCCCUGGACAACACCUGACACUGAGGCACGAAAGCUAGGGGAGCAAACAGGAUUAGAUACCCUGGUAGUCCUAGCCCUAAACGGUGCACGCUUGCUGUAAGAGGAAUCGACCCCUCUUGUGGCGAAGCUAACGCGAUAAGCGUGCCGCCUGGGGAGUACGGUCGCAAGAUUA
This 372-nucleotide ribosomal RNA is filed under the name uncultured organism. Its description in RNAcentral is "bacterial SSU rRNA". It matches the Rfam family "Bacterial small subunit ribosomal RNA", at positions 526 to 896 of the family's 1533-position model. The record is from RNAcentral.